CUUAGUACGAGAGGACCGGGGUGGACGCACCUCUGGUGUCCCAGUUGUCGCGCCAGCGGCACGGCUGGGUAACCAAGUGCGGAGCGGAUAAACGCUGAAAGCAUCUAAGCGUGAAGCCGACCCCAAGAUAAGAUCUCCCACAGGGUCAACCUGGUAAGACUCCUCGUAGAUGACGAGGUUGAUAGGCCGGGGGUGUAAGCGCAGCAAUGCGUUGAGCCGACCGGUACUAAUCAGUCGAGGGCUUGACCUG
This 250-nucleotide ribosomal RNA is filed under the name Bacillota bacterium. RNAcentral describes it as "Firmicutes bacterium (anaerobic digester metagenome) partial 23S ribosomal RNA". It matches the Rfam family "Bacterial large subunit ribosomal RNA", at positions 2677 to 2925 of the family's 2925-position model. The record is from RNAcentral. Lineage: Bacteria; Bacillati; Bacillota.